This is a long non-coding RNA of Cyprinus carpio (common carp), 1550 nucleotides long. RefSeq lists it as uncharacterized. The transcript has 5 exons. The record is from RefSeq and is a predicted model, not a curated record. Lineage: Eukaryota; Metazoa; Chordata; Actinopteri; Cypriniformes; Cyprinidae.
UCUCUAAGUCUGUAAGUAAAAAGAGUUAAACUGCACACUCACUCAAGUACUUUGUCAAAUAAUACAUACAUACGUCAUGCAUGAUAAAACCCACAAUAAAAACUUUGGUCCCACAUGAUUUGAAUGUAGAUUUUGGUUUGAGUUGUUUCUUAUAAAUGAGAUGAUCUAAUUCUCGAAUGUAUAUCUUAAUACACAGUUUUCUUAAAAUAGCUUACUGAUCUGGACAAAUGUGCACUUAAUGUGUGUUUUAUCAUACUCUGUCUUUAGUUCUGUAACUUGUAUCUCAUUCUCAUAAAGGUGUGUGUUUGCUUUAGCUACUUAAGAAAAUUAAUCUCUCUUUCUAAACUUGUAUAAACUAAAAACACUCAUCUCUUUUUCUCUUCAGGGGAAGAAAUAAUAUCUACAGAGAGGUUGCAACUUACCUGCGCUGAACAGAUGCUCCUCCUGCUCUUCACUAUUUCUCUGUCCUUUCUGUACUUCUGAUUUUUUCAAGCCCUCAAAGAAAAAUAAAGUACAAACUCAUCUUCAGCUUCACUUUUCUAGGGCAGUCGUCCAUGAAGUUUCUGUUAGAUUGACAAGCCUGCAGUCAGGGAGUGGUGGGGUCUACGUCUGACUGAGCGGUUAGAGACAGAGGGCCUGUUUAUUGUCCACAACAAGAGGUGUCCUAUUGGGGAGAGGAACCGAAUGUUUGCAGACAGGCUCUGGUGGACUUCAUUGUAGCAAGAGGAACCGAUAACCACAUUCAGUCCAUCAUCAAUGGACAAAAGUGUUCCAUCCAGAAAGUGCCUGUGCCUCGUUCAUUGAAGAUCAGGAGCAAACUGAUGUUCUCUACACUCACCUGACUUCAGUUCUGGACAGCACACACACACACACACACACACACACACACACAGUGACCAGAUCAGAUUCAUUAUGGAUGUCCUUUUAUCAGAGUCCAUCGUCUGUGCUCCUGCUGUUGUGGAGGCUGAGGAGAGAUUCCUGCGAGGACCUGUCAUCGACACAAGGUACUGUAAAGAUCCUAUAAAUGAAAAAAUGUUGAAACAUGACAUCCUGCCAUUAUUUAUAAAUAACCAUUGUUUCUACCACUAUGCAACUUUUGCUGUUUUAUUUAUUUUUAUCAGUGAGCGGGAGCACUUUGACAGCAGGAUAAAAAAACAAUUAAAGAAGAGUGGCAAGCCAUAUGAGAGUCAUCUACAGGAGUCAUGCUGUUAAGAAAUAACCAAGUCAUGGUGUUAAUAAAUAAUUUUUUUGUGAACAACAUUAUUGUCUCUUUCUUUUAAAUGACCCUUGGAAUUUUAGAAAAGGGUUAAAUUGUGUUUGUCUUCAUAAAAUGCUAUGUAGGACAUGUUUUGUAGCUGUAUGACGACCAGUUGUGAAUUGUACAACAGAUAUUUCAUUUAGGAUCCAUAUGAUUACACAGUACUGUAUAUCUAAUGGCCUAAAUAUGGUAAAUCUCUAAAUGUAACUUAAUAUAAAUUCACAACAUCAUAUAUCAGUCAGUCUCCUGUAUAUAAAAACAGUUUAUAAAUAAAUAUAAAUAAUACAUUUUA